Molecule: ribosomal RNA, 795 nt
Filed under: uncultured Nocardioides sp.
Lineage: Bacteria; Bacillati; Actinomycetota; Actinomycetes; Propionibacteriales; Nocardioidaceae
Description: bacterial SSU rRNA
Rfam family: Bacterial small subunit ribosomal RNA
Source: RNAcentral
AGCGGUAAGGCCCUUUCGGGGGUACACGAGCGGCGAACGGGUGAGUAACACGUGAGUAAUCUGCCCUUCACUUCGGGAUAAGCCUCGGAAACGGGGUCUAAUACCGGAUACGACACUUUUACGAAUGUAAUGGGUGUGGAAAGUUUUUUCGGUGGGGGAUGUGCUCGCGGCCUAUCAGCUUGUUGGUGGGGUAAUGGCCUACCAAGGCUUCGACGGGUAGCCGGCCUGAGAGGGUGACCGGCCACACUGGGACUGAGACACGGCCCAGACUCCUACGGGAGGCAGCAGUGGGGAAUAUUGGACAAUGGGCGGAAGCCUGAUCCAGCAACGCCGCGUGAGGGAUGACGGCCUUCGGGUUGUAAACCUCUUUCAGCGGGGACGAAGCGCAAGUGACGGUACCCGCAGAAGAAGCACCGGCCAACUACGUGCCAGCAGCCGCGGUAAUACGUAGGGUGCGAGCGUUGUCCGGAAUUAUUGGGCGUAAAGGGCUCGUAGGCGGUUUGUCGCGUCGGGAGUGAAAACGCCGGGCUUAACUCGGUGCUUGCUUUCGAUACGGGCAGACUAGAGGCAUGCAGGGGAGAACGGAAUUCCUGGUGUAGCGGUGAAAUGCGCAGAUAUCAGGAGGAACACCGGUGGCGAAGGCGGUUCUCUGGGCAUGUCCUGACGCUGAGGAGCGAAAGUGUGGGGAGCGAACAGGAUUAGAUACCCUGGUAGUCCACACCGUAAACGUUGGGCGCUAGGUGUGGGAUCCAUUCCACGGGUUCCGUGCCGCAGCUAACGCAUUAAGCGCCCCGC